This 254-nucleotide ribosomal RNA is filed under the name uncultured bacterium. RNAcentral describes it as "partial 16S ribosomal RNA". It matches the Rfam family "Bacterial small subunit ribosomal RNA", at positions 524 to 776 of the family's 1533-position model. The record is from RNAcentral.
UACAGAGGUCUCAAGCGUUGUUCGGAUUCAUUGGGCGUAAAAGGCUUGUAGGUGGCCACGCCAAGUCGGAUGUGAAAUCUCCCGGCUCAACUGGGAGGGGUCAUUCGAUACUGGCGGGCUCGAGGCCGGUAGGGGGAAGUGGAAUUCCCGGUGUAGUGGUGGAAUGCGUAGAUAUCGGGAGGAACACCAGUGGCGAAGGCGGCUUCCUGGACCGGUUCUGACACUGAGGAGCGAAAGCGUGGGGAGCGAUCCGG